AUUGAACGCUGGCGACAGGCCUAACACAUGCAAGUCGAACGGUAGCACAGAGGAGCCUGCUCCUUGGGUGACGAGUGGCGGACGGGUGAGUAAUGUCUGGGAAACUGCCCGAUGGAGGGGGAUAACUACUGGAAACGGUAGCUAAUACCGCAUAACGUCGCAAGACCAAAGAGGGGGACCUUCGGGCCUCUUGCCAUCGGAUGUGCCCAGAUGGGAUUAGCUAGUAGGUGGGUAACGGCUCACCUAGGCGACGAUCCCUAGCUGGUCUGAGAGGAUGACCAGCCACACUGGAACUGAGACACGGUCCAGACUCCUAUGGGAGGCAGCAGUGGGGAAUAUUGCACAAUGGGCGCAAGCCUGAUGCAGCCAUGCCGCGUGUAUGAAGAAGGCCUUCGGGUUGUAAAGUACUUUCAGCGGGGAGGAAGGGGUUAAGGUUAAUAACCUUAGCCAUUGACGUUACCCGCAGAAGAAGCACCGGCUAACUCCGUGCCAGCAGCCGCGGUAA
Molecule: ribosomal RNA, 505 nt
Filed under: uncultured bacterium
Lineage: Bacteria
Description: partial 16S ribosomal RNA
Rfam family: Bacterial small subunit ribosomal RNA
Source: RNAcentral